UAAGCGGAGGAAAAGAAACUAACUAAGAUUGCCUUAGUAACGGCGAGUGAAGCGGCAAAAGCCCAAAAUGGUAAUCUUCACGUUUCACGUGACGAAUUGUAAUCUAAAGGAGGGAUACUCAAUUGGAUGUGACGCAGAAGUGCCCUAGAACGGGCCGCCAAAGAGGGUGACAGCCCCGUAUGUGGUGUUAUGUCUUAACGAGUACCUUUCAACGAGUCGGGUUGUUUGGGAAUGCAGCCCUAACUGGGAGAUACACUUCUUCUAAGGCUAAAUAUUAAUGGGAAACCGAUAGCGAACAAGUACUGUGAAGGAAAGAUGAAAAGAACUUUGAAAAGAGAGUCAAAAGACUUGAAAUCGUUGAGAAGGAAGCGGUAGAAAUUUAUUCUGUUGGCUUGAAUGAAGGUGUUCGUCAAAUCAUUGCAGCUCUGAGUACUUAAUCGGCUUUGGGCUGCACUUGAGGAAGUGAUAGCUGGAUUCAAGUUGAUGAGGCAAAAUGGGGUUUCUUAGUCAUAAAAGCUUGUGUAGAAUGGAAAGGUUCGCCGAUCAUCUGCGCUGUGCUUAUGUUUAGGAAGCCUGAGGGUGCUUUUGCGAUUUUGCUAAAAUGGUUUUUACCGACCCGUCUUGAAACACGGACCAAGGAGUCUAAC
This 647-nucleotide ribosomal RNA is filed under the name Diaxonella pseudorubra. RNAcentral's name for it is "LSU rRNA". It matches the Rfam family "Eukaryotic large subunit ribosomal RNA", at positions 47 to 679 of the family's 3401-position model. Lineage: Eukaryota; Ciliophora; Spirotrichea; Urostylida; Urostylidae. The record is from RNAcentral.